AUGGAGAAAUGGUGGCUUACCUCGGUCCCAGCUUUGCUAAUAAAUCUGGAGCUGGUGGGAUGGAGAACCAGUACAAAAUGCCAAGUCAGCACAUUUCUCGUACCAGCAAAGGCCUUUAUCAGUUGGGGAGGAAGGGCUGAAGUCACCAGUUUUAGUUUCUGCAGCUCAGUUAGAGGCCACAGAAUGGAAAGAGACUGGAAUUCAGAUGACUUGGGCACAAGCAAUGGUUCCACCAUUAAUUCACCAUCUGGCUCAGUAAUUAGUGUCUCCCCUUCCUCAAUUAUUUUGUCAAUAUUUUGUAUGUAUUUUACACAGUAAAUGCCUAAUGCUUACUGAUUGAUUGACUUUCUGACUGGAACAUGAGUCGCUUCAUUUGGAUCUUAGUUUUCUCUGUAAAAUGAAGGGUUGAACUAGAUCAGUAAUUCUAAACCUGGGUACAUGUCAAAGGGCCUAUCAACUUGGAUGGGGGAAAAUGACAUCUCCAUAUUUUCUCUAACCUCUAACUGAAAUUGAGCAUUUCCUUCAGUGAUGGAUGUGAGUAACAGACACAAUUCUGAGACAGGGUCCCUGUCUUUCAUCAGAUUGCUAAAGAGAUCCAUGACACAUGGCUCAGAUCAUUUCUCAGGUUCUUUGGUUUUUUGAUAUUUAAUAUUCUAAGGUUCCUUUCAUUUUUCUCUAAUCUCUGAGCUCAGAAGGGCAUACCUCAUUAGGUGACUCACUCAAGGAAACCCAAUUUCUUUAGGGGCCAAAAAACUGAAAGGGUUACAGAGGGCCUCUUUAUGUAAUCACCAGUGUGCCUUCAGAAUCAUUUAAGAUAGCCAUAAUAAUUACAAAACUGGGUUCAAAUCCUGCCUCUGACAUUUACUACUUAUGUGACCUUGAGGGACUUAAAUAUUUUCCCUGGGCCUCAGUUUCCUCAUGUGUAAAAUGAAGGGGUUUGCUCAAAAGGUCUUUGAGGUUCCUUCUUACUCUAUAUCUGUUCCUAUGAAAUAUAGCUCAUCUUUAUAUAAUGCUUUACAGUUUAAGAUGAUUCCUCAUUCAUUCUAUUGUUUAAUCUUCCCCAAAACUAGUCAAAUCAUGUCAACAAGCAUUUUUAAGAACCUACUAUGUGCCAAGCACUCUGCUGAUCUCUGAAGGAAUGAAGUCAAAAAGCAGUCUCACUCUAAAGUAGUCCACAGGCUAAAGGAGAAGACAACAUGAAAUGACUGUGUGCAAACAAGCUAUAUACAAAUAAAUUGAGGGUGAUCUUUGAGGGAAGGCUUUAG
Molecule: long non-coding RNA, 1265 nt
Filed under: Monodelphis domestica (gray short-tailed opossum)
Lineage: Eukaryota; Metazoa; Chordata; Mammalia; Didelphimorphia; Didelphidae
Description: lncRNA (ENSMODG00000050423.1)
Source: RNAcentral